GCCGACGUAGCUCAGUUGGUAGAGCAGUCGAUUCGUAAUCGACAGGUCAUCGGUUCAAGUCCGAUCGUCGGCUCCA
This 76-nucleotide transfer RNA is filed under the name Candidatus Korobacter versatilis. Its description in RNAcentral is "tRNA-Thr". It matches the Rfam family "tRNA". Rfam says of the family: Transfer RNA (tRNA) molecules are approximately 80 nucleotides in length. Their secondary structure includes four short double-helical elements and three loops (D, anti-codon, and T loops). Lineage: Bacteria; Pseudomonadati; Acidobacteriota; Terriglobia; Terriglobales; Candidatus Korobacteraceae. RNAcentral also lists the same sequence under 22 other names. The record is from RNAcentral.